RNAcentral lists this small RNA (127 nucleotides) under Marmota monax (woodchuck). The record is from RNAcentral. Lineage: Eukaryota; Metazoa; Chordata; Mammalia; Rodentia; Sciuridae.
GCCGGGUGUGUUGGCGCACACCUGCAAUCCCAGCAGCUUGGGAGGGUGAGGCAGGAGGAUGGCGAGUUCAAAGCCAGCCUCAGCAACUUAGCAAGGCCCUAAGGAACUCAGUGUGAUCCUGUCUCUA